This 496-nucleotide ribosomal RNA is filed under the name uncultured bacterium. Its description in RNAcentral is "partial 16S ribosomal RNA". It matches the Rfam family "Bacterial small subunit ribosomal RNA", at positions 28 to 506 of the family's 1533-position model. The record is from RNAcentral.
GAUGAACGCUGGCGGCGUGCCUAAUACAUGCAAGUCGAGCGAACGGACGAGAAGCUUGCUUCUCUGAUGUUAGCGGCGGACGGGUGAGUAACACGUGGAUAACCUACCUAUAAGACUGGGAUAACUUCGGGAAACCGGAGCUAAUACCGGAUAAUAUUUUGAACCGCAUGGUUCAAAAGUGAAAGACGGUCUUGCUGUCACUUAUAGAUGGAUCCGCGCUGCAUUAGCUAGUUGGUAAGGUAACGGCUUGCCAAGGCAACGAUGCAUAGCCGACCUGAGAGGGUGAUCGGCCACACUGGAACUGAGACACGGUCCAGACUCCUACGGGAGGCAGCAGUAGGGAAUCUUCCGCAAUGGGCGAAAGCCUGACGGAGCAACGCCGCGUGAGUGAUGAAGGUCUUCGGAUCGUAAAACUCUGUUAUUAGGGAAGAACAUAUGUGUAAGUAACUGUGCACAUCUUGACGGUACCUAAUCAGAAAGCCACGGCUAACUACGU